This 242-nucleotide ribosomal RNA is filed under the name uncultured bacterium. Its description in RNAcentral is "partial 16S ribosomal RNA". It matches the Rfam family "Bacterial small subunit ribosomal RNA", at positions 118 to 353 of the family's 1533-position model. The record is from RNAcentral.
UAGGUAACCUGCCUUGUAGCGGGGGAUAACUAUUGGAAACGAUAGCUAAUACCGCAUAACAAUGGAUGACACAUGUCAUUUAUUUGAAAGGGGCAAUUGCUCCACUACAAGAUGGACCUGCGUUGUAUUAGCUAGUAGGUGAGGUAAUGGCUCACCUAGGCGACGAUACAUAGCCGACCUGAGAGGGUGAUCGGCCACAUUGGGACUGAGAUACGGCCCAGACUCCUACGGGAGGCAGCAUG